Molecule: long non-coding RNA, 907 nt
Filed under: Gossypium raimondii (Peruvian cotton)
Lineage: Eukaryota; Viridiplantae; Streptophyta; Magnoliopsida; Malvales; Malvaceae
Description: long non-coding RNA (GRAI_LNC004277)
Source: RNAcentral
AAAUGGAAAUGUGCUUGUGUUCAUGAAAGAGUGGUAAGAUUUUAAUUAUGAAAUUUCUUAUGAAAUGAUUUAUCAUGUGGUUAAUUCCCAAAAGAGCUAUGUUUAAAUGCACUAGCUUAUGGCUAUAGUUGAUUAUAUGCUUAUGUCUUCUGUGUUAUGCAUUUGAAACGGGUGUGGAAAGGUAAUGAAAUAGUAAGUUCAUAGUUGAAGUGUAAAAUGAUAAAAAAAAAGGGAAUGAUGAGUUGAAUUGAUGUUGUUAUUUAAGUUAAGGAAAGUAAAUGAAUGGAAAGUAAUGAAAUGCAAAUGAAAAUAAGAAAAUUUGAAAGAGUUUAAAGUUAUUUAAAAUCCUACUUUGCUAGGGAUGAUAUGUAUAUGUGAUGCUGUGGGUUUAGUCACUUUGUGAGUUGUUGAAUAUGAUUUCAUGAAUCUUGCGAUAUCGGUAUAGGAUUAUUCUUGAUAUGUAUAAAUUUCGUAUUUGAAAUGGAUUGAUAUGACUAAAGUUUAUAUGAGCUUACUAAGCAUUCAUUGCUUAUGUAGUUUUCUUUCUUUUACUUUUUAGAUUAUCGGAAGCUCGAUCGGGUUGGAAGCUAGUCAGAAAUCCAUCACACUAUCCAUCGUUUAUAUCAACAGAUUUUGAUGCUUUAUUCAUGGUUAUAAUGGCAUGUAUAGGUGGACUAUGUUUAAUGCUUAAUUGAUGAGUUUGGCAUGUAUAUGUCAUUUUGGUUUAUGAUUAUGGCAUGAAAUGUUGCCUUGGGUUUGAGGUACUUAAAGUACUAUUGAUGUCUUAUUGGUUGUGGUUAAUAUGGUCAAAUUGAUGCAUGUUUUGAAAUGACCAAAUUUGGUAUAUGUUAAUGUAUCUUUAAAUGGCCAAACUGGUAUGUGAUAAAUUGAUCUCAAUAUAGUCAAA